RNAcentral lists this ribosomal RNA (785 nucleotides) under Neochloris conjuncta. RNAcentral describes it as "SSU rRNA". It matches the Rfam family "Eukaryotic small subunit ribosomal RNA", at positions 402 to 1486 of the family's 1831-position model. The record is from RNAcentral. Lineage: Eukaryota; Viridiplantae; Chlorophyta; Chlorophyceae; Sphaeropleales; Neochloridaceae.
GACGGCUACCACAUCCAAGGAGGCAGCAGGCGCGCAAAUUACCCAAUCCUGACACGGGGAGGUAGUGACAAUAAAUAACAUUUCCGGGCACAUCGCUGGAAAAUGGAAUGAUACAAUCUAAAUCCCUUAACGAGUAUCAAUUGGAGGGCAAGUCUGGGGCCAGCCGCGGUAAUUCCAGCUCCAAUAGCGUAUAUUUAAGUUGUUGCAUUAAAAAGCUCUAGUUGGAUUUCGGGUGGGUUCUAGCGGUCCGCUUCGUGAGUACUGCUAUGGCCUUCCUUUCUACGGGGGACGGGCUCCUGGGAUUCCUUCUCGGGAUCCGGAUUCCGUGAUGAUACUUUGAGUAAAUUGGAGUGUUCAAAGCAAGCCUGCGCUCUGAACAUUUUACAUGGAAUAUCACGAUAGGACUCUGGCCUAUCUUGUUGGUCUGUAGGACCAGAGUAAUGAUUAAAGGGACAGUCGGGGGCAUUCUAUUUCAUUGUCAGAGUGAAAUUCUUGGAUUUAUGAAAGACAACUACUGCAAAGCAUUUCCAAGGAUGUUUUCUUAAUCAAGAACGAAAGUUGGGGGGUCGAAAAUAAUACCGCUAUCUCCCAUAAACGAGACUAGGGAUUACAGACUUUCAUUGAUGACUCUGCUAGCACCUUAUGUGAAAACAAAUUUUUGGUUCCGGGGGAUGGUCGAGGUGAAACUUGAAUUGACGAAGGGCCCCCCGCGGGAGCUGCCGGCUUAUUUACACGGGAAAAUACAGGCCCAGGAAGACGAGCCUUCUUGUCGGGGGGGGGUUUGG